GAGAGUAUAGUUCAGUGGUUGAAUGUCUGCCUAGCAUACACAAGGUCCUGGGUUCAAUCCCCACUACCUCCA
RNAcentral lists this transfer RNA (72 nucleotides) under Camelus bactrianus (Bactrian camel). It matches the Rfam family "tRNA". Rfam says of the family: Transfer RNA (tRNA) molecules are approximately 80 nucleotides in length. Their secondary structure includes four short double-helical elements and three loops (D, anti-codon, and T loops). Further hydrogen bonds mediate the characteristic L-shaped molecular structure. tRNAs have two regions of fundamental functional importance: the anti-codon, which is responsible for specific mRNA codon recognition, and the 3' end, to which the tRNAs corresponding amino acid is attached (by aminoacyl-tRNA synthetases). tRNAs cope with the degeneracy of the genetic code in two manners: having more than one tRNA (with a specific anti-codon) for a particular amino acid; and 'wobble' base-pairing, i.e. permitting non-standard base-pairing at the 3rd anti-codon position. The record is from Rfam by way of RNAcentral. Lineage: Eukaryota; Metazoa; Chordata; Mammalia; Artiodactyla; Camelidae. RNAcentral also lists the same sequence under 1 other name.